AGACUAUUCCCUGGACUCUGUAUAAGGAGUACAUGAAUCAUCUGGUGGAUCAGGGCGCUCUGAUGCUCAUGCUCACCGGACGGGUCAAUCAGUCCAAACAGAUUCUGGCCACACGGUUCAACUUCACCUCUAGAUGGCACUGUGGUGUGUAAAGAGUUGACAGUCAAGAUCACGUUCCAGAACCCGCUGACGCAAGUGUUGAAGAACGUUUUGUUCCGGAUAGAGGGAUUGGGAAUGCAGAGCGUCAGAAAGAUCCCGUAUGGUGAUGUGGAGAAGCUUGCGACGGUUACACUGAUGGAGAAGUUUGUUCCCACCGUCUCCGGCUCUCAGAAGCUCCUGGCAUCGAUGGACUGCCGUCAGCUCACUCAGGUUCACGGAUUCACCGAUAUUGUGCUCAAACCAAAGUGAAAAACUCUUUCAUUGUGAAGCUUUCUAAUGCUCUCGCUUCUCUUUAAGAAUAUUUACUAGAUUUAAUGAUCAUCUACACUAAAUAAUAGCUAAUUCAGUAUUUUCAUUCCCAACUGAUGAAAGUCAACAAUAAAGAUCCUGUUUUAUUCAUAUCCUGUCUGUUGUUUACUAUGAGUAGAUAGUAAACAUCGCUCUCCAGAGUGUAUUUGCAUAAUAAUAAAACAAGCUGUUUAGUUUAUAAGCAAUUUCAGUAAAAGAAUUGAACACUUGU
Molecule: long non-coding RNA, 679 nt
Organism: Megalobrama amblycephala (Wuchang bream)
Lineage: Eukaryota; Metazoa; Chordata; Actinopteri; Cypriniformes; Xenocyprididae
Exons: 3
Source: RefSeq, a predicted model, not a curated record